UGGUCUUGACAUAUAAAGAACUUUCCAGACAUGGAUUGGUGCCUGCUUGCAGGAGCUUUCAUACAGGUGCUGCACGGCUGUCGUCAGCUCGUGUCGUGAGAUGUUGGGUUAAGUCCCGCAACGAGCGCAACCCUCGUCGUUAGUUGCUAACAGUUCGGCUGAGAACUCUAACGAGACUGCCUACGCAAGUAGGAGGAAGGUGAGGACGACGUCAAGUCAUCAUGGCCCUUACGACCAGGGCUACACACGUGCUACAAUGGGGUAUACAAAGAGCAGCAAUACGGUGACGUGGAGCGAAUCUCAAAAAUGCCUCCCAGUUCGGAUUGUAGUCUGCAACUCGACUACAUGAAGUUGGAAUCGCUAGUAAUCGUAGAUCAGCUAUGCUACGGUGAAUACGUUCCCGGGUCU
RNAcentral lists this ribosomal RNA (408 nucleotides) under uncultured bacterium. Its description in RNAcentral is "bacterial SSU rRNA". It matches the Rfam family "Bacterial small subunit ribosomal RNA", at positions 976 to 1381 of the family's 1533-position model. The record is from RNAcentral.